GGGGUUGUGACUCAAUAGCAGAGCAUCUGCUUGGCAAGCAGAAGGUCCCAGGUGCAAUCCCUGCCAUUUCCA
Molecule: transfer RNA, 72 nt
Filed under: Sphaerodactylus townsendi
Lineage: Eukaryota; Metazoa; Chordata; Lepidosauria; Squamata; Sphaerodactylidae
Description: tRNA-Ala
Rfam family: tRNA
About the family: Transfer RNA (tRNA) molecules are approximately 80 nucleotides in length. Their secondary structure includes four short double-helical elements and three loops (D, anti-codon, and T loops).
Source: RNAcentral